GCCAUUGUAGCUUAAAGGUAGAGCACUAGUCUCGUAAACUAGAGGUUCCAGGUUCAAGUCCUGGCAAUGGCU
Molecule: transfer RNA, 72 nt
Filed under: archaeon
Lineage: Archaea
Description: tRNA-Thr
Rfam family: tRNA
About the family: Transfer RNA (tRNA) molecules are approximately 80 nucleotides in length. Their secondary structure includes four short double-helical elements and three loops (D, anti-codon, and T loops).
Source: RNAcentral